UCUCGCUCGGUGAACAGGCAGUCGACCGUCGGCCACAGCGAGCGUUUCCACAAUGCCUGGAGAUUUAUUUUAACGGAAUAGGAGCCGAGCGGAAGCACCGGAACCGCGUCCCAGAAAGAGUAAAACACUGA
Molecule: long non-coding RNA, 131 nt
Filed under: Cyclopterus lumpus (lumpfish)
Lineage: Eukaryota; Metazoa; Chordata; Actinopteri; Perciformes; Cyclopteridae
Description: lncRNA (ENSCLMG00005015761.1)
Source: RNAcentral